Molecule: long non-coding RNA, 1575 nt
Organism: Esox lucius (northern pike)
Lineage: Eukaryota; Metazoa; Chordata; Actinopteri; Esociformes; Esocidae
Exons: 3
Source: RefSeq, a predicted model, not a curated record
GCUAUUUUUUCCUUUUUUUAUUUAAAGUUAGUGCUAAUUCAAUUAACAAAUGGCACAAAAUAUACCGAAUUAACGUUACACUUUAGAAUACUGUUCCAAUUCCUUCCUAAUUUAUGCAUUAUGAACUCAUAUAGUAGUUCUCUUAGUAGUUAUCUGGGAGGUAUGAAAAACAUAGCAGUUAUUGAUUCGUUAUAGAACUACCACAUUCAACUGAGUGCUAUUACUAUUUCAUUAAUCAGAGUUCCUUGUUAGUUAAUAUUAGUAGAAUGUUAAUAGUGUGUUACUUAUUUGUUCCUGUGUAGUUAUUCAUUGAUGAUGGAAGAGUAUUCUAAAGUUUUACUAAAAAUAUUAUUAUAACACUUAACGGUCAGGGUACAUGAAUUAUCAUGAAUUCAUGUAUAAAUUCAUGCAUGCAUUAUGCAUUAAUAUCUCAUGAAUCAUCAGGAACUAGCCUAACACGAGUUCAACGUUUUUCAUUUACAACUUCAUGGAUGAACAACACCUUAAUUAAAACAUUAACUAAGAUCAUUACAUCAUCAUGAAAUAUGAUUUAUUAUGCAUUAUUAUGAUUCUUUGUUUACAGUUAUGCCACCAUAUUGUUCAUCAGUGUUUCAAAGGAACUAGUCAGCAUUUUAUUUGAGGGUCCACACACAUAAUGAAGUCAUUGAUAGAUAAUGCUUAGUUAGUGAUGACUACUGUUUUCAGUUACAGCACUUCCAGAAGAUAUUGUUUUCCCCCUGAGGACGCUCUUUGAGGUUGCUGCAAUGGAGCAGAAAUUGGCAGACCCCACCUUCCACAAACAAGUGGUUGGCGUGGUGGCAGAAAUUGGAGGAAGAACAUUGGAUGAAGCCACCAGAAGAAUGAUGGCCUUUCUUUUAGACCACUCCCUAUCAAGAGAGUACAAUUUUGUUGGCUGCCAUGGAAAGCGAGAGUUUCGGGGCUCAAACUGUUUGAGGUUGUAUAUGGAAGCUUGAAAAAAAAUGCCCUUACAAACCAGAUUACUAGAAGAGAUUCUGAAAAGGCAGUGUCAAAGUGGCUAAUUGGUGCCAGGGACAAGGGAGGAAACCGUACAGGGAGGGCACGUGGUGGAGAGCAAGAUGGGUAAAAGUCAUUAUCAUUAAAACUGCAGUUAAAAAGUGUUUAGCCUACUUAUAUUUGUGUAAAACACAACAUUGUGCUUUUGUCAAACUUUAAACUUUUGUAGGCUAACCUACAACUGUCACCCAACCAAAAUCACACACACACAGUUCAGUGGUUCUGGAGAUUUAUCUGAAUGACUCAUAAACAAAAAAUGUUGAAAAUGUGAAAAUAAAACAAAGUGGUUCUGAAAGUUUUUUUUUAGGAAGAAAAAUCUAUGAGCCAUAUCUCUUCGCACUUGCACCUCAAGACCCAAAGUAUAGAAUAGCUCUAGGUGUUCUUAUAAGACAUUUACUGUCAGAUGUGUGUCUGCUAUAUGUACUGACUGCAUAUGUGCAUCAUAGUUAUUUAUUUAUAUUAACAUAAAAUGUGGACAGUCUGAUUCAGCCAUGGCAAAGUAUUGUGGUCACUACCAAAACAUGCAGUCACUACCGUAAC